Helianthus annuus (common sunflower) is the source of this 324-nucleotide long non-coding RNA. RefSeq lists it as uncharacterized. NCBI's taxonomy places the organism in Eukaryota, Viridiplantae, Streptophyta, Magnoliopsida, Asterales, Asteraceae. The transcript is spliced from 3 exons. The record is from RefSeq and is a predicted model, not a curated record.
CACCUUCGUGUGUGUUCUAGAUCGAUCAGGAGACUCCCAUGGAGUCUCAAACCCUAAACAUGAAAGAUCAUCAAAUUGGAAGGCUAAAUGAUGCUUAAACUCAUAACCGAGCAUGGAUUAAUGAUCACCAACACGAGGGGAUCAUAAGUAUAGGAAUCACGUCGAGACGGGCGCAAGCAUGAGAUGUUAACGGGUCAAUAAGAGGCAAGGAAUCGGAUGCGAGCACGGACGCAUAAGGUUGUACGAAUCACGGAUUAACCUCACAAGGAGUAGCGAUCGAAGACCGAGUCACAAGAUAGAUUGUACGGGAAUGAUUACAUAUGU